UGUAAAAUAAAAGCGCCAGGACUUUGCGUCUUGCAAAGUUGACGAGGACAGAGUCUAUCGAGGAUUCGGCGGAUACUCUGCGUUUGACCAGCGUCAAAGCUUCUACAAAACUCGGGAGCGAUUUCGAGGACAAAGGGAAGCGGAGGUCUAUG
This 152-nucleotide non-coding RNA is filed under the name Andreesenia angusta. Its description in RNAcentral is "Eubacterium angustum GlcN6P sequence". It matches the Rfam family "glmS glucosamine-6-phosphate activated ribozyme aptamer". From Rfam's summary of the family: This entry contains a glucosamine-6-phosphate activated ribozyme that is found in the mRNA for GlmS. GlmS is an enzyme that uses fructose-6-phosphate and glutamine to generate glucosamine-6-phosphate. The record is from Rfam by way of RNAcentral. Lineage: Bacteria; Bacillati; Bacillota; Tissierellia; Tissierellales; Gottschalkiaceae.